This 305-nucleotide long non-coding RNA is filed under the name Mytilus galloprovincialis (Mediterranean mussel). Lineage: Eukaryota; Metazoa; Mollusca; Bivalvia; Mytilida; Mytilidae. The record is from RNAcentral.
GUCUGUGUUUUUAUACGAUCGGUUACAUGUACCAGUCAAAAUCGAAAGUCAAAUCUCUGUUGCGACAAUACAUCGGAAUGCCCUCACGGUCAUCGUGAUGUAAACAUGAAGUGUGGGCAGGAGGACGUGUACUUCCUUGUUCCAGGACAAACAUAUUUUUCGACUUUAAUGAAAAAACUCAUUUUUAAAAAAGAUAUGGUUAUUUUCUUUAAUUUCAUUAUUGUUUUAUUGUUUCUCUCAUUUUCAAUGGAAACAAUUAUUUUGAUUCCCUUCUGAAAAAGAUAAAAUAUCUUUCAAGAAACUUG